AUACGAAGGGUGCAAGCGUUACUCGGAAUUACUGGGCGUAAAGCGUGCGUAGGUGGUUGUUUAAGUCUGUCGUGAAAGCCCUGGGCUCAACCUGGGAAUGGCGAUGGAAACUGGGCGACUAGAGUGUGGCAGAGGGUAGUGGAAUUCCUGGUGUAGCAGUGAAAUGCGUAGAGAUCAGGAGGAACAUCCGUGGCGAAGGCGACUGCCUGGGCCAACACUGACACUGAGGCACGAAAGCGUGGGGAGCAAACAGGAUUAGAUACCCUGGUAGUCCACGCCCUAAACGAUGCGAACUGGAUGUUGGGUGCAAUUUGGCACGCAGUAUCGAAGCUAACGCGUUAAGUUCGCCGCCUGGGGAGUACGGUCGCAAGACUGAAACUCAAAGGAAUUGACGG
This 395-nucleotide ribosomal RNA is filed under the name uncultured bacterium. Its description in RNAcentral is "partial 16S ribosomal RNA". It matches the Rfam family "Bacterial small subunit ribosomal RNA", at positions 523 to 916 of the family's 1533-position model. The record is from RNAcentral.